UACGUAGGGGGCAAGCGUUGUCCGUAAUCAUUGGGCGUAAAGCGCGUGUAGGCGGCUCGAUAAGUCUGCUGUGAAAGUUCAGGGCUCAACCCUGAAAUGCCGGUGGAAACUGUCGAGCUAGAGUACGGAAGAGGUGAGUGGAAUUCCUGGUGUAGCGGUGAAAUGCGCAGAUAUCAGGAGGAACACCAAUGGCGAAGGCAGCUCACUGGGACGUUACUGACGCUGAGACGCGAAAGCGUGGGGAGCAAACAGG
This 253-nucleotide ribosomal RNA is filed under the name uncultured bacterium. RNAcentral describes it as "partial 16S ribosomal RNA". It matches the Rfam family "Bacterial small subunit ribosomal RNA", at positions 524 to 776 of the family's 1533-position model. The record is from RNAcentral.